Oreochromis aureus is the source of this 3020-nucleotide RNA transcript. It is a transcript of the gene named ubiquitin carboxyl-terminal hydrolase 2-like, with no coding region annotated. The record is from RefSeq and is a predicted model, not a curated record. Lineage: Eukaryota; Metazoa; Chordata; Actinopteri; Cichliformes; Cichlidae. The transcript has 10 exons.
CAAGUUCCCAGAAUCCUUUGCGGUUUUACCCCUGAAUGACGUCACAUUUUCAAUCUCUAUCCUGGUGGGCCGGUCUCUAGUCAAAAUGCCCGGGCCGAUUUUUUGUCCCAGUCCAGCCCUGGGUCGCUCCAAGGCAGACCUCCAUCCCUGUGUGGAGGAAAACUUAAAAACAAGAAUGAAAUGUGUGUGUAACUCGAGUUCUUUCGUCUUUUGGUUUCUCUGUCUUCCUUUUUCAUUAUUGGACUUAACUGGGCUGGCUUUGGAUGAGCUUGCUUAAAAAAGAAAGUUCUAGAGGUCAAGUUGUCUUUGAAUACAGUUUUUAACCAUCAAUAUUUUUAGUAACCUUUCUUAAACUGAGGCAAAAGAUGGACGGGUUUGUAUCGCUUUGAUUUUCUUGAUACUGUGGGGUCUGCAGAUAUCUGACAUUUUUAUGGUGAUUAAAGUUGCUGCAAGACCAAAAGUCUGACAGACACCAUCUCAACAUGUGAUUGUCACUGCUGCUUCUUCUGAUGCCUCAUGAUAUCUGAUACUUCUUUUGCUUUAAGGUGUUAAGGGUGUCCACAGGAAAUGGAAUCUCAUUACUAUACAAAUCCUGUGACUCUCAGGAUUGCCAACCUCAGAUUCUUUGGCAUAAAAACAUCUAAAGUGCACUUCUACAAUUUUAAUUGCCCUCACAGUCUCGAAAAGAUUUUCACAAGAUGGGCUAAGUGCCUGAGAGAAACAGUAUGAAAAUGAAAAAGUGCAAAGAUGAAUGAGGAAAAGCACCAGACCCUUGUAUAAGCUUUUUAAAAUGCAGUUAUCCUUUGUAAUGUUCACAUUUGAAACAUACAGUUUCUGACAUUGCAUAAAAUAAAUCUAUUACACUAAAUGUCUGUGUCUUAUGGUUCUUAUGGUUGUCUUAAGAUUGUUGGGGUUUUGUCUGUUUUUUGGUAUUAUUAUACAGUCUUUACCUUCCAAUAUAAAGCUUCUUGAAGACUGUUGUUGUGAUUUGGCGCUAUCUAAAUAAAACUGAGUUGAACUGAAUCUGAAUAAAUAUUAAGAUAUAAGAUGUGCAAUAAUUAUUUUUUUAAAGGUUGGUGAUGUGUAGCCUGCUGUAGUCAUGAACCUCCAGAUUAGAGCAACAGCUGAUGCCAGCUAUUGUUGGAAACAGAAAUACUGAGGACAGAACAGUUUGGGAAGAGAAAGAAAGCUGCUGAGUCUGCACCUGUGGAAUAGGAAACGGUGACAGAAAUGCGCCACAUUUUUAAUAAUUAAUAUUUCCGACACGCCUUGAACUCAUCACUGAUCCGGCAGAAGUGAAAGAGAAAGCGAUAGUCUGAGUGUUUUUAACUGCACGGGAGAUUGAGAUACCCUAAUGCUCCUAUAGCGGAUGAAAUAUUUUAUUAACAAGUAUCUGAAGAAAUGUCUUAGAACUGUGUUGAAGGCAGGCCUGCAUCUUUGGCUUACUUUGAUUUCUUUUCAAAAUAAUAGCGUUUGUUUCUGCCUCCAACAACAAUUUCUUUGUAGAUCGUCAGAGGAGGCAGAAAAUGGGUUUAUUUGGUCGACGGGGUUUCAAGAACAUCUCUACCUCUGUGGAAGCUAAUAAUAAAUACCAUGGGCUGGUAAACCAAGGUGCGACGUGUUACCUGAACAGUGUGCUGCAGGUGCUGUUUAUGACCGAAGACUUCAGAGAAGCUGUGAAAAGAUCCUCCAAACAAAAUGCUGGCAUUGGGCUUCUUGGUGCCCUUACAGACUUGUUUGAUAAUUUACAGAAACAAACAGCAGACACACAUAAAAUAAUAACCCAGCUGGGCAUCAGCAGAGUGUAUGAACAGUGAGAUGCUGCUGAAUUCAUCGAGAAGAUUUUAACAAUGACCAGUCCCGAGGCAUCACAGAUCUUCCACGGUCUGUUAGCAAACCAAAUCACCUGCUCUAAAGGUCAUAAAGAGACUGACAAGGAUGCACCAUUUUGGCAUCUUCCUCUGUCAUUGGUGAAUUUUUACAAUCAAGACUACAGUGUAGUGAACGGCAUCGAGGAGUUUUUCAGACCUACAUGUCUAAAUGGAGAACACCAGAUGUACUGUGACCGCUGCGGUCACAAAGUUGAUGCUACUAUUAUGUAAUAAAACAUCAUCCAGAUGUUUUGAUUCUGCUGCUGAAGAGGUUUGAGUUCAACUACAUUUACAUGUCCUACUUCAAAAUCAGCUGUUUUGUGGAGAUUCCCUACAGCCUGCAAAUACCAGAGAAUGAGGUGUAUGAACUGUAUGCAGUAGUGGAUCAUUUUGGCGGUCUGAGAGGUGGACAUUACAGCGCAACAAUUAAAACCCAGGAUGAAGACAGAUGGUAUAAGUUUGAUGAUGCCCAGGUCACACCGCUUGAUUACCAGCCAUUCCAGGAGAAAUCCCAGAGUGCAUAUCUUUUAUUUUACAGAAAGGCAAAAAGCAAGAGUCAUAAUUGUUACCACAGGCAUUUGUUUCUUUAUAUAUUUUUAUUAUUGUUAUUUUAUUAUUCAUGCUGUAGUAGAUAGUUAAAACAGGCAGGGUUCACCUGCAAUCAGUGACAAAUAUGACCAGUGAGAAGACGCCUAUGAGAAAGCAAAGUCAGUUAUCACACUGCAGAGUGAUAAUACACACAAAAAUGAAGGACAAGUAGAAUUACAGUGAUAAUUAGUGUUGGAUCUGAACUCUGCUGUAAAUGAGAUUACCCAGUAAAUGAAGGUUUUUGAGGACACUUGGGGGAGAAAUGGACAUAAAGAAAUUGUCCGGCAUCAUGAAAAUUCAGGAGUGAAGUCAGUGACAGAGAUGCAGCUGUGAUAAUCUAAUAGACAGGUUGAGAUUAGCGACGGAGAAGACAAACGUGCAACAACUGAGGAUGAACAUCAAAACAAGCGAAUUAAAUGUCAGGAUUUGCUUGCAUGCUGUGAUCAUUGUCCUGUUGCAUACCUGUUGGACAGACAACCUCUUUUUUGUGUGUGUGUUUUAUAUUUAAAAUAAAUUCCACAAUUUUAAAUCUAAUUUAUUUUUUUAUUUAUUUCAAAUUCA